GGGGGUGUAACUCAGGGGUAGAGUAUAUGUUUAGCAUGUGGGAGGGCUCGGUUUAAUCCCUAGCACCCCCC
Molecule: transfer RNA, 71 nt
Filed under: Ictidomys tridecemlineatus (thirteen-lined ground squirrel)
Lineage: Eukaryota; Metazoa; Chordata; Mammalia; Rodentia; Sciuridae
Description: Spermophilus tridecemlineatus (thirteen-lined ground squirrel) tRNA
Rfam family: tRNA
About the family: Transfer RNA (tRNA) molecules are approximately 80 nucleotides in length.
Source: Rfam by way of RNAcentral